The submitters of this non-coding RNA (62 nucleotides) gave its source as unclassified sequences. The record is from Rfam.
UGCCGUGGCAUGCGUAAAACAAGCCGACAGCAGGGGACGCAACCCCCAUAUAACAAAGCAUA